AUUGAACGCUGGCGGCAUGCCUUACACAUGCCAGUCGAACGGCAGCACGGGGGGUAACCCCUGGUGGCGAGUGGCGAACGGGUGAGUAAUAUAUCGGAACGUGUCCUGUAGCGGGGGAUAACCUAUCGAAAGAUGGACUAAUACCGCAUACGACCUACGGGUGAAAGCGGAGGCCCGCAAGGCUUCGCACUAUAGGAGCGGCCGAUAUCGGAUUAGCUAGUUGGCGGGGUAACGGCCCACCAAGGCGACGAUCCGUAGCUGGUCUGAGAGGACGAUCAGCCACACUGGAACUGAGACACGGUCCAGACUCCUACGGGAGGCAGCAGUGGGGAAUUUUGGACAAUGGGCGCAAGCCUGAUCCAGCCAUGCCGCGUGAGUGAAGAAGGCCUUCGGGUUGUAAAGCUCUUUCGGCGGGGACGAAACGGUUCGUGCUAAUACCACGGACUACUGACGGUACCCGCAGAAGAAGCACCGGCUAACUACGUG
Molecule: ribosomal RNA, 486 nt
Filed under: uncultured bacterium
Lineage: Bacteria
Description: partial 16S ribosomal RNA
Rfam family: Bacterial small subunit ribosomal RNA
Source: RNAcentral